This 835-nucleotide long non-coding RNA is filed under the name Ailuropoda melanoleuca (giant panda). RNAcentral's name for it is "lncRNA (ENSAMEG00000029794.1)". The record is from RNAcentral. Lineage: Eukaryota; Metazoa; Chordata; Mammalia; Carnivora; Ursidae.
AUGAUUUUGCUUUGUUCUGACUUGGGGCCAACACCGGUAGGCACACGGGUGGUGUCACCGUCAUGCGCCGUGCGUGAGGCCCAGAAAGGUCUUAACACACUGGCCCUGGGUGUGGAAUAUGGCUCCGCGUAUUACGCCACCAAACAGCCCGUUUUUCUCCCCCUUGAUCCUGCAGCAAAAGAAGCGUGGCCUCUGCCCACCUGUCCGACCGUGAGGCCCACCGCGGGCUGUUCCAGUCCCGAGCCCGAGGGCAGGGAGCCCGUCCACAGGCGAAGAUGGAAGAGUGGUGGCAGGACAGGCGCCAACAGGCCACGGAACGGCAGGAGCGCCCUGCCGAGCAUGAGUUCUGUGAGCUGGCCGUGCGCCUCAACCAGCUGGAGGUGCACGGGCACCGCUGUGGAGGCCGGACGGGGCUCCGCCCAGACCACGGCCAGCCCGUCAGGCGCCAGGUGCUGGCCCAGCACAGAGAAGUAUGUGGGGGCGAACCGGCCCAGCGCAGGACAGUCUUCACGGGACUCGUCCAGGGAGACUGAGAGGCCGGGGGUGGAGCCCGGGAGCCGGCAGACUGGUGCAGAGGCGGCAGGGCCCUACAGACUGGGAGGCUUCACUUGAGCUCCUCCAGGACAAUCCCAACCGGUAGAGAUGCACCUGCACCCUUUCACGGGUGCACAGAGCACAGCCCGGGCUUGCUAGAGACAGAAAUAAGACUGGACAGGCAAGAUUCCCAAGCCAGUCCCCCCAUCAGCAGCGGUCAGAAGGGAACUAGCUGCAGCUCCCGACCUUUGCCGGCAUGCGGGCUCCCCGGACCCGGCGGGCUCCUUAUGAGGCGUGCUUG